UAAAAUAGCUUGAGCUUCGUAUCCCGAAGACAUAAGAUCUAAGUAUGUGUUAGGUUAUAGACUAAAGUUAAAGUGCUGUAGCAUUAGCACGUGACAAAUAAUACCUUAGAGGUGAAAGGCCUUCAAUUAUGCCGAUAGCUGGAUAGUUACUAAAUAUAUUAAGUUUAUAAUAAACCCAUGAAGUGAUAAGAUUUCAUGAUAAGAAUUUAACUGAUGGCUUGGUAACACUAAUAAUCAAUACUUAGAAGUACUUAUUUUUUACACAAUAAAUCUCGAUAGUAAAUAUUCUUUAAUAGUAACUCAUUUAAUUUAUCUAAUUAAAAAUUUGAUAAUGUAUAAAUAAGUAUAUUAAUAUAAAUUUAGGUAAAUUAACUCGGCAAAUAUUAUGUACGACUGUUUAACAAAAACAUAGCCGGUAGCUAUUUAUUAUCGGUGUGACCUGCCCGGUGAAUUUUUAACGGCCGCAGUACUGUGACUGUGCAAAGGUAGCAUAAUCAUUUGACUUUUAAUUGGAGUCUGGUAUGAAAGGAUUAACGUAUAUAAGCUGUAUCUAGAUAUAAAUUUAUUUAAAUUAUUUAUAAGGUGAAAAUACCUUACGUAAGAAAAAUAGACGAGAAGACCCUUAGAAUUUUAAGAAAACUCAUAGCUAAUAUGAAAUGAUUUUUGUUGGGGCAACAUUUUUUCAUUUAAUAAAAACUCAGUGACAUAACAUAACGAAAAAUUUAAUAAAGGAAAAAUUACCUUAGGGAUAACAGCAUAAUUUUUAAGUAAAGAUUGUGACCUCGAUGUUGGACUAGGGACUAUUAAGGCUAGUCGUUUUAAUAUAAUAUGUUCUGUUCGAACUUUGUUCCCUA
This 854-nucleotide ribosomal RNA is filed under the name Montenegrina rugilabris gregoi. Its description in RNAcentral is "partial 16S ribosomal RNA". The stretch from base 391 to 536 matches the Rfam family "Archaeal large subunit ribosomal RNA", at positions 1889 to 2083 of the family's 2987-position model. Lineage: Eukaryota; Metazoa; Mollusca; Gastropoda; Stylommatophora; Clausiliidae. The record is from RNAcentral.